RNAcentral lists this long non-coding RNA (908 nucleotides) under Setaria italica (foxtail millet). RNAcentral's name for it is "long non-coding RNA (SITA_LNC001040)". Lineage: Eukaryota; Viridiplantae; Streptophyta; Magnoliopsida; Poales; Poaceae. The record is from RNAcentral.
AAUAAGAGUCAAAUUACUAAUAAUUUAAACGACCUUGAUUGCUCGAGGCAGAAUGGUCGACCGCGGCACAAAUAAAUCCUAUACACUAGAUAGAACAGGCAAUUUGCUGACACAAACUGAAUACUUUGCUGCAUCGAUCAUGCACUACUGCAGAAGAUCCUAAGAUGCCUGUACUAAGUUGAUCAACUGGUAGUAGGCUUCACAACUACCUGUACGUAGCUGUCUAUCACUCCCGGAUAAAGAACCGAUAGUGAAAUAACCCUCACUCCCAGUUUAUGUCACCAGACGGGCUAACUAAGUAGCCAUUAUUUUGGCCACUGUAAGGUAAUAACCAUUUCGCAUGAUACUUUCUGACCAAUAUAUACCAUGCCACCCUUUCUUCCUAAGAGAAUACCACAACCAAUCAUCAUCACCCACAAAGAACUUUGACUCUGUGCUCAAGGUAGCUACCAAAUGUCCGGGUAGGUUUGGUCAAGUAUCUAUGAAGAAGAAGAAUGCAAGCAUCCAAACUGAAGGAACUGAGAGGCAUCGGGGAAAUAAAUUGACACUGUCCUGUCCUUCCAUCCUAGAAUGGGCCGAAGAGACGGUCAAAAUGGCUCAGAUCGUCGGCUAGCAGAACUGACUGGCAAAAGUUUGUAUUGUAUGGAGCUGAUUGUCAUGUUGUUGUUAGCUAGGCGGGCCGAUCAUGUCGGCACAAGGGGCUUCAAGUGGUUUAUUUCAGUGUUUUCCAUUGGUCCGAGCUUUCACAUAUUUCACACCAGCUACCGAUGUUUCAGCCACUAGUUAGCUUGUAGAAAACAAUAUAUAGUGCUGUGCAGCCUAGUGGUUACAGUCACUUAGUACUUCUAGCACCCUAACUCAUGGGUUCUAAUCCCUGUGAGAGUGAAUUUCAGGGCCUGAUAAAAAAG